RNAcentral lists this long non-coding RNA (642 nucleotides) under Theobroma cacao (cacao). Its description in RNAcentral is "long non-coding RNA (TCAC_LNC002693)". Lineage: Eukaryota; Viridiplantae; Streptophyta; Magnoliopsida; Malvales; Malvaceae. The record is from RNAcentral.
UCCGAACAAGUAUUCUUACAAUUGAUCAUUCAUGACAUGUUCGAACAAAUUGAUUCGAACAUGUGAUAUAACUAAAGAAUUGAAAUAAGAAAUUGAUAAGAAGUGAAAAUUGCCUUGAUGAUUUCAGUUCAUGCUAAGAUCUUUAUAAUACAAAGGUAUGGUGGUUGGAUAAAUCUACAAGUUUGAAUACAAGUGUGUUUAGAUAAGAUGAUAUCAAAACUUAAAAGUACUGAUAAAGAUUGAAUAUUGAAUCUAUUAGCUUCACAUUUUGUUCUUCUUAUCAAAUUGAUUAUUCUCUCCCUGAUGCAACGGAGUUAACUGAUGGUGCUGCUGAAGAUGUUGUUGCAGUGACGUUGAUCCAUUUAUGUUAAUAGAUGAUGCUGAUCCAUUUCCUUUGAUAUAUUUGAUAUGCAUUAAGAGAAGUAUUCCGUAUGAACAAAGCAUAGCAAAAUCCCAUCCCUUUUUUAGCUCCACUCAUAUAUUUCUUCCUUUGUCAAAAAGUACGAUCAAGUUAAUUUUUAUUGUAUUUUUUUUAUCAAAACACUUGCAUACAAUGGGAAAUCAAACUAAUUCUUGUUUUCUAAAAAAUAAUUUGUAUGUCAAUCAAGAUGGUAGAAAAAACACUUACAUACGAUGGCAAAU